CUGCACACGUAUUCGACCUCUAUGGAUAUCCAUCAGAAUCGAUUUCGAACUGAUUUUUCUUCGUAGAAGAUUUUUCUUUUUAAGAAGAAUCUUAGUCUGGAAUACUGAUCAACAUCUUGAUCUAGACUACAGGAUCAACUUCUUGAUCAGCAGUUUUCUUCUUCUUCUCCUUGAUUUUCAAUCUCUAAGCCAUCAAGCACUAUCUCUUGACGUGUGGAAGAGGGAUGCCUAACUUUUGGGUGUGGAAAGGAAAAGAGGGAGGAGAGGAGGCGUG
This 274-nucleotide long non-coding RNA is filed under the name Elaeis guineensis (African oil palm). RNAcentral's name for it is "long non-coding RNA (EGUI_LNC025064)". Lineage: Eukaryota; Viridiplantae; Streptophyta; Magnoliopsida; Arecales; Arecaceae. The record is from RNAcentral.